UCCGCUGCGCCGCGAUCUCUCCUCACUACCACAGCUUGGUGUAGUGGAGAGGAGUGUGGUGUAGUGGUGUAGUGUACUGGAGUAGUGUAGCGAGCCAGUCCGAACACUCAAUAAGCAAUAUUCGGACCCGAUCCUUACCCGCCUUCGUAAUUCAGUAGCGAGGAUGGUGGGCCACGUGGUGUGUCCCCUACUGCUCAUCCUGGGGCUGCUCGUCCUCUCCUCCACACCGCUCAUCGUGGGAAGAAAAACCCCCAAAGCAACUGCCACCAGACGUCUACAAGAUUGCCGGAGGACACAAUGCUAACAGACCCGGAGU
Non-coding RNA from Procambarus clarkii (red swamp crayfish), 316 nucleotides. The record is from RefSeq and is a predicted model, not a curated record. Lineage: Eukaryota; Metazoa; Arthropoda; Malacostraca; Decapoda; Cambaridae.